RNAcentral lists this ribosomal RNA (1363 nucleotides) under uncultured bacterium. RNAcentral's name for it is "partial 16S ribosomal RNA". It matches the Rfam family "Bacterial small subunit ribosomal RNA", at positions 75 to 1376 of the family's 1533-position model. The record is from RNAcentral.
AAAAUCUUUUUUUCCUUCUUUUGGGGGGAGGGGAUUUGGGGGGGAAACAAAAACCUUUUGGGGGAAAAAACCCCAAGGGGUUUUUAUUAUCCCAAAAAAAAAAGGACACGGGGGGGGCCCUUUCGGGGGGCCAAAAGGUUUUUUAAAAGUAGGGGUUUUGGGCUUUACCCUUUUGAAGAAUAGGAUUUUGCGUUCCGGAUUAGUUUAGUUUGUUAGGGGUAAUUAGCCUUACCAAGGCCGGAGGUUGGGUAGCUGGUUUGGGGAGGGAUGAUCAGCCACACUUGGAAUUGAGAUACGGUCCAGGACUCCUUCCGGGAGGCAGCAGUGAGGAAUUUUGCACAAUGGCGGAAAGCCUGAUGCAGCAACACCGCGUGAUUGAUGAAGUUUUUAGGAAUGUAAAAAUCUGUCGUAAGGGAAGAAAUGUUUCGGAUGUUUAUACCAUCUGUUACUGACGGUACCUUACAGAAAAGGACCGGCUAACUUCGUGCCAGCAGCCGCGGUAAUACGAGGGGUCCUAGCGUUGUCCGGAUUUACUGGGCGUAAAGGGUACGUAGGCGUUUUAAUAAGUUAUAUGUUAAAUAUCUUAGCUUAACUAAGAAAGUGCAUAUAAAACUGUUAAAAUAGAGUUUGAGAGAGGAACGCAGAAUUCAUGGUGGAGCGGUGACAUGCGUAGAUAUCAUGAGGAAAGUCAAAUGCGAAGGCAGCCUUCUGGCUCAAAACUGACGCUGAGGUACGAAAGCGUGGGGAGCGAACAGGAUUAGAUACCCUGGUAGUCCACGCCGUAAACGAUGAGUAUUUGGUGCUGGGGGAUUCGACCCUUUCAGUGCCGUAGCUAACGCGAUAAAUACUCCGCCUGGGGACUACGAUCGCAAGAUUGAAACUCAAAGGAAUUGACGGGGACCCGCACAAGCGGUGGAACAUGUGGUUUAAUUCGAUGAUACGCGAAGAACCUUACCUGGGUUUGACAUGUCAGAGAAAGUUUUCCGAAAGGAAAUCCUUUUAAUAAUUUAUUAUUAAACUCUGUCACAGGUGAUGCAUGGCUGUCGUCAGCUCGUGUCGUGAGAUGUUAGGUUAAGUCCUGCAACGAGCGCAACCCCUAUAUUUAGUUGCCAGCACAUAAUGGUGGGGACUCUAAAUAGACUGCCCGGAAUAACCGGGAGGAAGGUGGGGAUGAUGUCAAGUCAGUAUGUCCCUUAUACCCAGGGCUACACACGUGUUACAAUGGAUGGUACAAAAAGUAGCAAUUCCGCGAGGAGGAGCCAAUCUUUAAAACUAUCCCCAGUUCAGAUUGAAGUCUGAAAUUCGACUUCAUGAAGCAGGAAUCGCUAGUAAUCGUAGGUCAGCACACUAUCUGUAAUCCCCG